RNAcentral lists this ribosomal RNA (460 nucleotides) under uncultured bacterium. Its description in RNAcentral is "partial 16S ribosomal RNA". It matches the Rfam family "Bacterial small subunit ribosomal RNA", at positions 338 to 795 of the family's 1533-position model. The record is from RNAcentral.
CCUACGGGAGGCAGCAGUGAGGAAUAUUGGUCAAUGGACGCAAGUCUGAACCAGCCAUGCCGCGUGCAGGAAGACGGCCCUAUGAGUUGUAAACUGCUUUUGUACGAGGGUAAACGCAGAUACGUGUGUCUUUCUGAAAGUAUCGUAUGAAUAAGGAUCGGCUAACUCCGUGCCAGCAGCCGCGGUAAUACGGAGGGUUCAAGCGUUAUCCGGAUUUAUUGGGUUUAAAGGGUGCGUAGGCGGUCGGAUAAGUUAGAGGUGAAAUCCCGAGGCUCAACUUCGGAAUUGCGUCUGAUACUGUUCGGCUAGAGAGUGGUGGCGGUAUGCGGAAUGUGUGGUGUAGCGGUGAAAUGCUUAGAGAUCAUACAGAACACCGAUUGCGAAGGCAGCAUACCAAGCUACUUCUGACGUUGAGGCACGAAAGCGUGGGGAUCGAACAGGAUUAGAUACCCUUGUAGUC